GACGAACGCUGGCGGCGUGCCUAAUACAUGCAAGUCGAACGCUGAAGGAGGAGCUUGCUUCUCUGGAUGAGUUGCGAACGGGUGAGUAACGCGUAGGUAACCUGCCUGGUAGCGGGGGAUAACUAUUGGAAACGAUAGCUAAUACCGCAUAAGAGUAGAUGUUGCAUGACAUUUGCUUAAAAGGUGCAAUUGCAUCACUACCAGAUGGACCUGCGUUGUAUUAGCUAGUUGGUGGGGUAACGGCUCACCAAGGCGACGAUACAUAGCCGACCUGAGAGGGGGGUCGGCCACACUGGGACUGAGACACGGCCCAGACUCCUACGGGAGGCAGCAGUAGGGAAUCUUCGGCAAUGGACGGAAGUCUGACCGAGCAACGCCGCGUGAGUGAAGAAGGUUUUCGGAUCGUAAAGCUCUGUUGUAAGAGAAGAACGAGUGUGAGAGUGGAAAGUUCACACUGUGACGGUAUCUUACCAGAAAGGGACGGCUAACUACGUG
RNAcentral lists this ribosomal RNA (495 nucleotides) under uncultured bacterium. Its description in RNAcentral is "partial 16S ribosomal RNA". It matches the Rfam family "Bacterial small subunit ribosomal RNA", at positions 28 to 507 of the family's 1533-position model. The record is from RNAcentral.